GUCCAGAGACGUGCAGACCACAAGACACUGCCUCCACUUACUUCAAAUGUGUCUGGAUGUGUGGACUACCGUAAGGGACCUCAUGAAUAGCGACAGCAACACCAAUGAAGAUGCUGGUAAACAACUGAUGAGACAAUGGACAGAACUUGUUUGUUUCUGAUUUGUGAGAUAUUUUUUUCAGCCUCUGAAGCCCCGAAUGUAACUGCAUAAGCCCAUGGAUCAGUAUCAGUAUCAGUAUCACCCUUCAUUCACUCCGGACACAGCACAGCAGGACUCCUCCUACACACACAAACUAUACACAUUUUGAGUAAGUUUUCCAGUUAUCUUUUAAUGGAACCAGACGCCUAUCAUUCUUCGUUUCUUGGCAGCCUAAACCUAAAACACAACCAAUGUUGCAAGAACUGAAGAACUCUUCAGGUUCCAAUGCAAGUCAUUUGAGAGUACAAAGAACAGAACACAUAACUGAUGGAAUUAAACCUAAAGAACAGGACGAUCAGGACAUAUCAACCAAGGGACAACAAUUGUCAGCUCACUUCUCAGUAUGAUUGCCUAA
Molecule: long non-coding RNA, 553 nt
Filed under: Drosophila guanche
Lineage: Eukaryota; Metazoa; Arthropoda; Insecta; Diptera; Drosophilidae
Source: RNAcentral